This is an RNA transcript of Cyclopterus lumpus (lumpfish), 2996 nucleotides long. It is a transcript of the gene named Rho guanine nucleotide exchange factor (GEF) 39, with no coding region annotated. Lineage: Eukaryota; Metazoa; Chordata; Actinopteri; Perciformes; Cyclopteridae. The transcript is spliced from 13 exons. The record is from RefSeq and is a predicted model, not a curated record.
GGUAUUUGUACUUACGGAGUGUGAGCCGCGUAGAGACGUUCCAUGUUGACACGAAGCAGCGGUAGCUUACUGAAACAGAUCAUGUUAGCUUGUUGUUGAACAGGUUACAGUAACACAAGUCGAGCGGUACUCUCGUUGCGACAGAGAGUGGUACCGACGUCGGAUAAAAGGAUACGGAAGUGUUGUGUUUUAUGGAGAGUGUAAGAUGGAAUACGAGUUUGACACAUGAAAUAAACAUUUCAGCAAACUUGUCGUCCUGCUCACUGUGACCAUGAGUUUCUCCCCUGGUCCGUCCGGUCCCAACGGGGGAACCAGUAUCCAGGAGCAGAGGGAGCGCUGGGAGAGGAAACGCAGCCGAACGGCCAGAGAGUUGGUGCAGACAGAACAACGCUACUGCCAACAGCUGGAGCUGGUCACCACUUACUUUGUGGAGAUCUUAAAGGCCAAAGGAACCCUGAAGCAGGACAUGAGAGAAGGCAUCUUCAGUUCAAUUAAAGCCAUUCAUUCAGUAAACCAAUCUCUGCUUGUCCAUUUGGAGAACGGCUACUUUGGCCGAGGCUUCGACCAGAUGUGUCCACAUCUGCACCACUACAACACGUAUGUGGACAACAUCUACAAUGGCCGCAGAGUGCUCGGGAUCCAGCUGAAGAAAAACAAGGCCUUCAGACGCUUUAAGAAACUCCAGGAAGCCCGGCCAGAGUUCAACAACCACAAGCUCGAGGAUUUACUUCAACUUCCUGUUCAGCGGAUCGAUCAGUAUAAACAUUUCCUCCAGGACCUGGCUGCCAACACGAGUCCAGACAACCCGGAGUUUCAGCAGCUUUCAAGGGCGGUGACCGCGGUGGACGAGGUGUCCCAGCGUAUCCAGAACAAUCGCCGGUGCCAUGAGAACCACCUGCAGCUAUGCCGGGUGCAGAAACUGCUGAAAGGGCGAAAGACGAAGGUGUCGGCUGCAGGGAGGUGGUACAUCCGUGAGGGCUGGCUGAAGGUGGUUCCUCGUAAAGGGGUGGACGCUACGCCCAAAAUGUUCUUCCUGUUCUCCGACAUGCUGCUGCAGGCCAAGCGCUGCAGUCCGCUGCAAUUCACCAACAGAGACAAGUUUGCCGGCCAGCGCGCCUUCCCCCUGCAGGACUGCGCUGUGGAGAAGGUGUUUGGCCACACCCGGAGCCAGGGAGGCCUCCUCAGCGUAACCUUCCCCAAAGCCAAACUCCUGCUGAUGUCCUGCAACCAGGAGGAUCUCAAUGACUGGUACCAAAGCCUGAGCUCAGCUAUCGGGAAGCUGCAGCCUCAGCAGACUGUCGUCCAUCAGAGAGACGAGUUGUGCCGGAGACCUCUCCGAUCAGUCGCCGACGACCACAACACGCCGAGCGGCAGCAGGAAGAGAAACGUGGUGAGCAGUGAGACCAAUGAACAUGCUCAGAAGCCUCCAGUUGAGUGGAUGGGCAGCGCCCCCAAGAGGAUGAAGCAGUGUGACGCUCCAGAGCACAGUGCGGAGGAGUCCACUUCCAGCUGUGUGAUCCUCUGAAGGACUUCCUCUGAGAUGAUCCUGCACCGUCUGUCUGAGAGUUUAACUUUGUGCAUCUGGAGAUUAUUAAUAACAGCAGCUUCUGCUCAUCCUGUCCAUGAAACUCUCCAUCUGCUGUUUUACACACCAAAUAUAUGUUGAUGCUGCUUGUCUCUAUUUACAAUGUUGUAACACCAACAGCUGCAGUGCAGCGGUGUUUUGACGAGUUCACCGUGGUGGUCCCUGAAUGCACCACUCUGUGCAUCAGUCUUGGUUUUACACUGCAUUUACAGGCAAACUUCAGAAAGGAAAAGAAGCUUUGGAUAUGUUCUAAAAUAAACUAUACAUACAUACAUGAUGGGAAAAGACCCAAUAUUCAGCCGGUUACAGGUGGACCCCAGGGCUAGUUUUAGAUUAUCAAUAUAAAUAUGUAUUUGUUGCCAAAUACCCUUUUUUUUAAUGUUGUUUUCACUUGUAUUUCAUGUCUGUUGUCAUAGACGGCUGUUUGACACCUUUGGGCCCUAAGUGUCAGUGGGAAAAACACUUAUGAAAUAAAUAGUGUUAUUUUUAAAUAUCAAUAGCUAUAAUAGACUAUUAUAUUGAUUAUUGUCUUAUAAUGUCUUAUCUUUUUUAUUUAAUGGUGGUCAAUAUUCAAUAUAAUAUUGUCAAUAUAAUAACCAUAAUUAUAACUGCGAAUAUAUUCUUCCAACUUGAUAUGGAUGGAUGGUCGGUCAUCUUGAGAAACUAGCAGACUGCAUUAAAACCAUAAUCCACAUGAGCAGCCCAGUUUAGGGACGCCGUCUGGAGCCGACAGCGAGAGCCCUUCAGGCCUUCAGUUGUCGUCAGGAUGUGAUGAGAAUGUUACAAAUACAACAAGAAUGUUGACCCACAUGACCUGGACUGGACCAGGUCAUGUGGGUUUAUCUCCACAUGACCUGGUCCAGUCUAGGUCAUGUGGGUUUAUCUCCACAUGACCUGGACUGGACUGGACCAGGUCCCACCGAUGAGCCCGGUUCGCUUUACUGCCUCACACGAACAUGAUCCUCUGUUCGAAUGUGCAACUCUUGGAAUGUCUGAUUUUAUUGUUUUAUUUGCCAGAUAUACAGAUUCUCAUAACUGUUGCAUGUGUGAGACACUGUGAUGAUUUAUGGUUGUUAUUAUCAUGAUGAAUGGAAUGAGUGCAUUUAAUCAUCUGCACUGCAUUCUGGAGAUGAUUUCUGUGACUUAUCUGCAUCCAGGCAAGAAACCCUGGUAACCAGAUGUAAAGUUCUAUAUGUUUUUUAUCACAUUAUUUAUCCUUCAUUAUAUCUUUUAUUAACCCACCAUCAAAUAUGUGCUUCUCUUCUGCAUUUUAUUAACACUAUUUAGCAUUUUGCUCAUCUUGGUGUGUAUUUUACAGAUCAUUUAGCUCAUUAAAGCUUUUACGCGGUUUACACAUCAUGAAUGGAGAUGGAUGUCAUUUAAAUGUCCCAAUAAAACUCUAAAGAAGUCA